This 409-nucleotide long non-coding RNA is filed under the name Phoenix dactylifera (date palm). Its description in RNAcentral is "long non-coding RNA (PDAC_LNC006590)". Lineage: Eukaryota; Viridiplantae; Streptophyta; Magnoliopsida; Arecales; Arecaceae. The record is from RNAcentral.
AAUUCCUUCUUCCCUUUUUCUUUUUCUUUCUUUUCCUCUUUCUUCCCGUUUCCUUUUUCUCUCUUUUACAGGCUACUCAAAAGAUCAUGAAUCUCCCCUCUCCCCGGAUAAAAUCUCUAGCUCAGAAUGAAGAGAAAGCUAGCCUAUUUAUAGGCAAAGACAAGGCUGAACCAGGGAAGAGAAAACGCCAAAAGGGAAGAGUGAACGCCAAACGUUUCAUGAUUUUAUUAAAUUUUUUGAACCGUUUGAUUUCAAUUAAAUCAGUCCUAUAUUAAAGAGGUUUCAAAACCGAAGAGACACGUCUCUUCGGAUCUUCAAAUGGUAGCCGAAAGAGGGAAGAUCAAGCGGCCUUCGAUGUGUUCGGAAGAAGAAGAAGAACGCGGUCCACGGGAGAAGGUUUGCAGAAAAA